Non-coding RNA from Tauraco erythrolophus (red-crested turaco), 1170 nucleotides. NCBI's taxonomy places the organism in Eukaryota, Metazoa, Chordata, Aves, Musophagiformes, Musophagidae. The record is from RefSeq and is a predicted model, not a curated record.
CAGGACAGGGAACAAGAACUGGAGCAACUGACAAAGGAGCUGCGACAGGUCAAUCUGCAACAGUUCAUCCAGCAAACAGGAACGAAGGUCACGGUGCUGCCAGCAGACCCUGUGGAGGUGGAGGCCCCGCAUGUGGAGCUCGAGAGAGAGCCAACAUUUCAGUCUGGGUCACUGAAGCGCCCUGGCUCAUCGAGGCAGCUCCCCAGUAACCUUCGGAUUCUACAGAAUCCCCUGUCAUCUGGUUUUAACCCGGAAGGCAUUUAUGUAUGACAGUACAUACCUCUUCUGGAGAGGACCUAGCAAGGUACCCUGGACAAGAUACACUUUUGUUUUAUUCCACCAGUGAUGAACGGAAGAAGGUUUUAUCUUUUUUUGUUAAGCCACCAUAUUUUUUUUUCCCCUUCUUCCUCCAACACACCACUUGGAGCCAUACCCUGUGCACUGAUGCUAAAGAGGCAGAGGAACUGUCUCGAUUCGUAAUUGGCAAGGAUGAACUUGCUGUCAACACAGCUAGAGUGCAAAAACCUUCAUUUGUUUUUGCAACUUCAGAAGCGUUUGGGAAAGUAUUGUUCCAUGUAUAGGCAUAAAUAAGACUGAGGGUGAAGGAAACCAGGUAUACAACUUAUCUGAGGUUUAAUUUAUUCCCUUUAAUCAAUGGACGUGUGAAUGUUGACCUUUUAUAUUUUUAUUUUUAACUUGUGAAUAAUUACAUAUGACUGUAUGUCAGUCUGACAAGGUGGCUUUGAUUUGCGUGUGCAACCAUCCACCGUUUGAUCAAGUACAACAACUUGCAACGCAGAGCUCUGUGGAGCGCUGAACCAUUAAAAUGGUUUCUCACCACCAACUUUGUUAAUUUCUGUUGUGGGUCAUAAUAUGUCAUGUUCCAUCCAUUGCUACCUUUUAAGGCUUGAAAAGUGAGCUUGUGGGAUUUACUUGCUGUUGAAUCUGCCUUGAAUGAAGCACCUAGUGUUCAAAAGAUUUAUGGAAUUUAAACCUUGGCUUGGUAAAAAUAUUUCCAGCAUAUGAUUGAGGAUGCACUAGUUAGAUGAUAUUUUAUUAUAUAGAAUGUAUAUUUGAAAUAUUUUGCCACAUUGUAUAUGCCUUUUGAGAAAAGAACAAUGUAAGAAGUUGUCUUCAUAUAUCUUACUGAAAGAGAGUAGGAGACUUUCA